RNAcentral lists this small nuclear RNA (68 nucleotides) under Microtus ochrogaster (prairie vole). RNAcentral describes it as "U1 spliceosomal RNA (ENSMOCG00000006757.1)". Lineage: Eukaryota; Metazoa; Chordata; Mammalia; Rodentia; Cricetidae. The record is from RNAcentral.
AUACUUACCUGGCAGGGGAGAUACCAUGAUCACGAAGGUGGUUUUUUCCCUACCUCACCGCCCUAAGC